RNAcentral lists this ribosomal RNA (461 nucleotides) under Streptococcus mitis. RNAcentral describes it as "bacterial SSU rRNA". It matches the Rfam family "Bacterial small subunit ribosomal RNA", at positions 28 to 473 of the family's 1533-position model. The record is from RNAcentral. Lineage: Bacteria; Bacillati; Bacillota; Bacilli; Lactobacillales; Streptococcaceae.
GACGAACGCUGGCGGCGUGCCUAAUACAUGCAAGUAGAACGCUGAAGGAGGAGCUUGCUUCUCUGGAUGAGUUGCGAACGGGUGAGUAACGCGUAGGUAACCUGCCUGGUAGCGGGGGAUAACUAUUGGAAACGAUAGCUAAUACCGCAUAAGAGUAGAUGUUGCAUGACAUUUGCUUAAAAGGUGCAAUUGCAUCACUACCAGAUGGACCUGCGUUGUAUUAGCUAGUUGGUGGGGUAACGGCUCACCAAGGCGACGAUACAUAGCCGACCUGAGAGGGUGAUCGGCCACACUGGGACUGAGACACGGCCCAGACUCCUACGGGAGGCAGCAGUAGGGAAUCUUCGGCAAUGGACGGAAGUCUGACCGAGCAACGCCGCGUGAGUGAAGAAGGUUUUCGGAUCGUAAAGCUCUGUUGUAAGAGAAGAACGAGUGUGAGAGUGGAAAGUUCACGCUGUGAC